This 1341-nucleotide ribosomal RNA is filed under the name uncultured bacterium. Its description in RNAcentral is "partial 16S ribosomal RNA". It matches the Rfam family "Bacterial small subunit ribosomal RNA", at positions 28 to 1381 of the family's 1533-position model. The record is from RNAcentral.
GACGAACGCUGGCGGCGUGCUUAACACAUGCAAGUCGAACGGUAAGGCUCCAGCUUGCUGGGGUACACGAGUGGCGAACGGGUGAGUAACACGUGGGUGACCUGCCCUGCACUUCGGGAUAAGCCUGGGAAACUGGGUCUAAUACCGGAUAGGACUGCACCGUGAGGGUGUGGUGGAAAGUUUUUUCGGUGUGGGAUGGGCCCGCGGCCUAUCAGCUUGUUGGUGGGGUAAUGGCCUACCAAGGCGGCGACGGGUAGCCGGCCUGAGAGGGUGGACGGCCACAUUGGGACUGAGACACGGCCCAGACUCCUACGGGAGGCAGCAGUGGGGAAUAUUGCACAAUGGGCGGAAGCCUGAUGCAGCGACGCCGCGUGGGGGAUGACGGCCUUCGGGUUGUAAACUCCUUUCACCAUCGACGAAGGGUUUCUGACGGUAGAUGGAGAAGAAGCACCGGCUAACUACGUGCCAGCAGCCGCGGUAAUACGUAGGGUGCGAGCGUUGUCCGGAAUUACUGGGCGUAAAGAGCUCGUAGGUGGUUUGUCGCGUCGUCUGUGAAAUUCCGGGGCUUAACUCCGGGCGUGCAGGCGAUACGGGCAUAACUUGAGUACUGUAGGGGAGACUGGAAUUCCUGGUGUAGCGGUGAAAUGCGCAGAUAUCAGGAGGAACACCGGUGGCGAGGGCGGGUCUCUGGGCAGUAACUGACGCUGAGGAGCGAAAGCAUGGGGAGCGAACAGGAUUAGAUACCCUGGUAGUCCAUGCCGUAAACGGUGGGCGCUAGGUGUGGGUUUCCUUCCACGGGAUCCGUGCCGUAGCUAACGCAUUAAGCGCCCCGCCUGGGGAGUACGGCCGCAAGGCUAAAACUCAAAGGAAUUGACGGGGGCCCGCACAAGCGGCGGAGCAUGUGGAUUAAUUCGAUGCAACGCGAAGAACCUUACCUGGGCUUGACAUAUACAGGAUCGCGCCAGAGAUGGUGUUUCCCUUGUGGCUUGUAUACAGGUGGUGCAUGGUUGUCGUCAGCUCGUGUCGUGAGAUGUUGGGUUAAGUCCCGCAACGAGCGCAACCCUUGUCUUAUGUUGCCAGCACGUUGUGGUGGGGACUCGUAAGAAACUGCCGGGGUUAACUCGGAGGAAGGUGGGGAUGACGUCAAAUCAUCAUGCCCCUUAUGUCCAGGGCUUCACACAUGCUACAAUGGUCGGUACAGUGGGUUGCCAGUCCGUGAGGGCGAGCUAAUCCCGCAAAGCCGGUCUCAGUUCGGAUCGGGGUCUGCAACUCGACCCCGUGAAGUCGGAGUCGCUAGUAAUCGCAGAUCAGCAACGCUGCGGUGAAUACGUUCCCGGGCCU